CUGCAACAGCAGACUUGUCUGAGGGGAGCACACCGUCUUGGAGAGUGCUUCCGUGGUGAGGCUCCUUCCGGAAGAAGAGUGCAAAGGAAAACAGGAGGCCUGUGAAGAGUGAUAAACUGUUGUGGGAGGUCCUUCUGCUCCUCCAGCCUAUAGCCGCUGAGAUACCAGCCCAUUGGGGCAUGGUCUCUCUCCCUUUAAAAAAGCAGCCACUUGCCUCUCCUCUCUCUCUCUCUUCACUUCCUGAUCCGCUGGUGACUAGACUCCCUUCCUGGUUGCGCAGAGGGCUGUUGUCUGGGACGCUGAUCUAUUUCAACCAUUGCCAAGUCCUACCAGUGUGUUUUCUAAAGAUUAAUUUUUGGAAGCUUUUCAUAUAUAAGGAUAGCUCCUGUGAUAUGUAUUGCAACUUGUGGGCCCUGCAGAAAUUACCUUUUCAUAUGAUUUAUUAAGUGUCAUAUUUGUGGAUUCUGGUUUUUGUAAUGUAUUUAGAAAGUACCCAUUUUUUUUACUCUACUUUAUUCCACAUGAAGAUGAUAAAAGAAAAUUGUAUGUUUUAAUCCAUUUUUUAAAAAUUUGUUUUAAAGUUUGCUUAUAUAUAAUAUACAUAUUUAUACAUACAGAAUAUACAUAUAUUACUACCUAUUGUAUUAUUUUUAUAUAUUUUAUCAUUUUAUUACUAUUGUAAGGGGAUCUUGUUUUUUGUUAGAUCAAUUAACUUAUUGCUUUAAUUUGUGAAAUCUAUUAAUUUGUGUAUAUUAAUCUUCAGCUCAUUCACUGAAUUCUCUGGUGGGUUCUUAAUUAAUUGUCCUGGGAUUUUCACAUGUACAAUUGCAUUAUCUCUAAGUCCUAACAACUUAACCUCUUCCUAACUCAUAUUUAAACCUGAAAAUUCUUUUUUUUAUGUCUUUUGUAUUUAACGACCUCAGGGGAAAAGAAUUAGACAAUCAUGUACUGGUAGGCAUUCAUGCCUCUUACUUGGGAUGUCUUACAUUUUAGGUGGUCUUCUAAUUUUUAAUAAUUCAGUUUCCUUCUAUUCACUAGCACCUUCUAAUUUCAAAAACCCUUUGAUUUAGCACACAUCCUUCCUCUACUCCUCUGAGAUAGCACAAUCUUCUGUCUACUCCUCUGACAUAGUACAGAUCCUCCAUCCACUCCUCUGAGAAAGCACAGAUCCUCCAUCCACUCCUCUGAAAAAGCACACAUCCUCCAUCCACUCCUCUGAGAUAGCACAUAUCCUCCAUCUACUCCUCUGAGAACACAUAUCCUUCCUCUACUCCUCUGAGAUAGCACAAUCUUCUAUCUACUCCUUUGAGGUAGCACACAUCCUCCAUCCAUUCCUCUGAGAUAGCACACAUCCUCCAUCCACUUCUCUGAGAGAGCAUACAUCUUCUAUCUACUGCUCUGAGAUACAUAGCCCAACUACUUGCUCUCUCAAAGCUAUCCACCUUAUUCUUCUUCCUCUAGUCUCCUUUUCUGUUUCUAUUCACUGUUGCUUUCCAUCCAGCUUCUUGCCCCACCACUGGCAAAUGAGUUGCACUGGAAGGGACCAAGUUCCAGAGGACACAGUGGCAUCAGUGUAAGGGAUAAUGUCUCAGGUACUGCCCAAGCUUUCUCCGUGCCAGAUGUGGCAAUUCACGUCCAGUGUCUGCAUGAAUAGUAUCCUUUGGAUUCCCUCCACAGCUUGAUUUGGUGCCUUGUCUUUGACUGCUGGACUGCAGUCUGGUUUGUUAUUCCUCCCACGAGUGACUCUUUACAUUGAAUGUCCGUUUUUAUUAAGCUAUUUUAGGUAUUGCUCUUGAGAUUACCAAUGUUUUCAAGUCAUUCUAAUUGGUCAUUCUUUCUUAAAACAUUCAAAUGUUUAAAUUUUAUAAUGCCACAUUUAAUUUUUUUUUGGAAACCCUUGUCUCUUUUACUAAUAAAGCUUUAUUCCCACAUAUGAUUCAAAUAUUUCCAUGUCUGCUGGUAAAGCUUUAUCUUUCUGUGGCAUGUUCAUGCUCAUAAGUGAUCUCAUAGACUUACAUGAUUGGAACUUUAUAAUAACUACUGUGGACUUCUUUCUUUACAGCAUCUAAGUUCAACCAAUCCCUUUCAGAUUUGUUUGAGUAACUUUGGACCUAAGUUCUGAGUGAUCACAUGAUCUACCAUCAUUCCUUUUUUAUUUUAAUAAAUCUUUAUUUAUUGCAUAUACAGUGUUCUGCUUGCAUGUAUACUUGCAGGUCAGAAAAGGCCACUAGAUCUCAUUACAGAUGGGUAUGAGCCACCAUAUGGUUGCUGGGAAUUGAACUCAGGACCUCUGAAGAGCAGCCAGUGCUCUUAACCUCUGAGCCAUCUCUCCAGCCCACUACCAUCACUUCUUACUUCAAUUCAUGUACUCACUUAACUGAUCCCUGAUCUAGCUAAUUCAAUUCCCAGAGGGGACUCCUACCCUGGGUGCUCAUGCUCUCUAUAGAAGUCAGGUAUAAAAGGUUAUAAUGGAAAAUUGAUGAUGCUCUUUCUCAGCUGAGAGUUCUUUAAAGGGUUGCUUCCCAUUACUGAUGGCUGAAACCCAAAAUGCUUAGCCUGACCUUUAAGAAUUUCAUUUACCUAUGUCCUUUCUACCUUGCUAGUCUUUCAGUACAUUGCAUUAAAAAUUGUUUUGAUUACUUUUUG
Alexandromys fortis (reed vole) is the source of this 2646-nucleotide long non-coding RNA. RefSeq lists it as uncharacterized. NCBI's taxonomy places the organism in Eukaryota, Metazoa, Chordata, Mammalia, Rodentia, Cricetidae. The transcript is spliced from 3 exons. The record is from RefSeq and is a predicted model, not a curated record.